RNAcentral lists this unclassified non-coding RNA (403 nucleotides) under soil metagenome. RNAcentral describes it as "partial contains 5.8S ribosomal RNA, internal transcribed spacer 2, and large subunit ribosomal RNA". The stretch from base 1 to 121 matches the Rfam family "5.8S ribosomal RNA", at positions 35 to 154 of the family's 154-position model. The record is from RNAcentral.
GAUGAAGAACGCAGCGAAAUGCGAUAAGUAAUGUGAAUUGCAGAAUUCAGUGAAUCAUCGAAUCUUUGAACGCACCUUGCGCCCUUUGGCUAUUCCGAAGGGCAUGCCUGUUUGAGUAUCAUGAACACCUCAACUCUUCACGGCUUGCCGUGAUGAGUUUGGACUUUGGGGGUCUUGCUGGCCUACGAGCCAGCUCCUCUCAAAUGUAUUAGCUUGCCGGUGUUUGGUGGCAUCACAGGUGUGAUAACUAUCUACGCUUGUGGUUUUCCACUAGGUAACCUUCAGCAAUGGAGGUUCACCGGAGCUCACAAAUGUCUCUCCUUGCCAAGGACAGAUUUUGACCAUUUGAUCUCAAAGCAGGUAGGACUACCCGCUGAACUUAAGCAUAUCAAUAAGCGGAGGA